Molecule: ribosomal RNA, 450 nt
Filed under: uncultured bacterium
Lineage: Bacteria
Description: partial 16S ribosomal RNA
Rfam family: Bacterial small subunit ribosomal RNA
Source: RNAcentral
GUGGGGAAUAUUGGACAAUGGGCGAAAGCCUGAUCCAGCCAUGCCGCGUGUGUGAAGAAGGUCUUCGGAUUGUAAAGCACUUUAAGUUGGGAGGAAGGGCAGUAAGUUAAUACCUUGCUGUUUUGACGUUACCGACAGAAUAAGCACCGGCUAACUUCGUGCCAGCAGCCGCGGUAAUACGAAGGGUGCAAGCGUUAAUCGGAAUUACUGGGCGUAAAGCGCGCGUAGGUGGUUUUGUAAGUUGGAGGUGAAAUCCCGGGGCUCAACCUGGGAACUGCCUCCAAAACUGCAUGACUAGAGUACGGUAGAGGGUAGUGGAAUUUCCUGUGUAGCGGUGAAAUGCGUAGAUAUAGGAAGGAACACCAGUGGCGAAGGCGACUACCUGGACUGAUACUGACACUGAGGUGCGAAAGCGUGGGGAGCAAACAGGAUUAGAAACCCUGGUAGUCC